Molecule: long non-coding RNA, 962 nt
Organism: Betta splendens (Siamese fighting fish)
Lineage: Eukaryota; Metazoa; Chordata; Actinopteri; Anabantiformes; Osphronemidae
Exons: 3
Source: RefSeq, a predicted model, not a curated record
CAAGGCAACACAGACCCUGCUGGGCGGUGCUGGUGUGACCGGUAUCUGGUGCUUCUCGUUCCUUUUUAGGAGUCUGAUGAAACUCCAGUUCCACCAGGAGCAUAUGCAAACUCCCAUAGACAAGACUGGCGAAAUGAUUACUUCAUGUGCUGCACCAGAGCUUUAGCACAUGGUCCCAGGAUCAUUACAAAAGCUGUGGAGGUCCACAACCUUCCGUUUUUGAUUCACCCAUGUUGCUUUUUGUUUUUGUUUUCUUUCAAUUUGUACAUUUUAAGUCAGUUUACAGAAAUGUACGCUACAGUUUUAAGGGGGGAUAAAAAGAACAUUUACAAUCUAACCAUUGUAAAAGUGACACAUGCAUCAAUUCAUCACUCAUCACUGAGGGUUGUUUGGCUGCAGCCCGUGCUGUUUCCACAGCCAGAAGAGGCUGCUUGAUCACUCAGUGAUGGAACCCGCUGGAGACCUGAUUAAUUCAUUAAUUGAAGAAGAGGAACAACUGCUCACGACUCGCGCCCUGGAGCGAAGCGUGGUUCUGGUGAGCCCGUGCUCGUCCUCAGCAGUCGGUGCCCGGGGCCCUCGAGGGAAGGCUGUGAUUGCUCGGCGAGUCUCAGUCUCUCUGACAGGACAAGAGCGGAGAGAAAAAGCAUGAAAGUCAGAGGAUUCCCUGAAGCCAUGGAGCGAAGAACUCUCAUUGUAACCACAAGAGUUGAAGCAAACUCUGCUGAAAAAGGCCUGUCAAGCAUUAAAGUAAUGCAACGUGUCAGCAGCAUGAACAACGCGCUGGAAGACGCAGAAAUGUAUUAGUAUUAUUUUAUCCCUUUAAAUUGAAUUUGUCCUGCGCGCGGAGCACACGGGAGCCGCGCUGCCCUGGACGCCGGCCCAGUAACAGCAGUCUGGCUCAUAACAAUGACACCCACUGCAGCCGCUCCUCGGGCUCGUCCGUAAUGAAUGCCUUCUAAUUG